AUGCUUAUUUCAGCAGCACAUAUACUAAAAUUGAAACAAUACAGAGAAAAUUAGCAUGGUCCCUAUGCAAGGAUGACAUGCAAAUUUAUGAAACGUUCCAUAUUUUU
This is a small nuclear RNA of Camelus dromedarius (Arabian camel), 107 nucleotides long. Lineage: Eukaryota; Metazoa; Chordata; Mammalia; Artiodactyla; Camelidae. The record is from Ensembl.